This 2683-nucleotide unclassified non-coding RNA is filed under the name Hevea brasiliensis (rubber tree). Lineage: Eukaryota; Viridiplantae; Streptophyta; Magnoliopsida; Malpighiales; Euphorbiaceae. The record is from RNAcentral.
AAUUAAUGCUACUUCACAAUUCAUUAAGCACUUGGCCUUCAAAAACUCUGGUAUAAGGGGAAAAACAACCACAAUUGUUAUUUGGCACUUCAAGUAUGAGCACGAGAUAAAAAAUAAAAAAUAAAAAUGUUCUAUUCAAUUUGGCUUGAAGCAAUAUAUUUAAACACUUCUACACCAGAGAACAAAUUUAAUUUGUCUGCCUUUGAAAGUUUAAUCAGUUUCUCAUAUACAUUCAAUACACACCAUUAGCAAUCAUGGUUGGUUCAAUUGCUACCCCUAGUGUCACUUUGUUAUAGUGUUAAGGGGGGUUAUUAUUACUAGUAAAGGAUUUACACGCGUCAUUCAUUUAACCUUAUAAGUAUAUGCAAACAAGUCAAACACUUAAAAAUGUAACCAAUACUCCUUUGAUCAUUACACUAUCAACAAGAACUCCUGCAACUCAUGAACCCUGGUUGUAAUACAUCCUAAUUGUCAAAUUCCUAUUUCCCAUUUAUAUUCUUUCCUUCAAAAUUUAAUUUAUUAUCAUGUGGGGGUAUAUCCUUACCAUCUCCGAUUUUGAGCUCAGCGGCAUUUUCUUCCUCUUCUCCAGACAUUCUGAAUCAAACAAAAGCUUCACAAAUCAAAAGCCUCCAAAAACCCUCUCUUUUUCCUUCUUCCUUCCCCGAGUUCGUUGUAGAAAUUAGGUGUAUUUUCCAUAAAUAGUCCCCUUCUGAAAAAUAUUUGGAAGCAGGCUGGGACAAGAUUCUGCACUGCGCAUAGUUUUUAAGCCCGAACCAAAAUCUGCCCAACCCAUAAAUCGCAUUGAUUUCUGCAUAAUUUGGGAUUUGCGUUUUGGGUUGGGUUGUGGAGGGAGGAAGAAUUUCAUUCGGAUAUCAUGUAUGGUAGCUUGGCUACAAUCGAAUUGGAGCAAAAUCAGAACUGAAGGGAGGAAAGAUUUCAUUUUUCUUUUUGGGGCUUUUUUUUUUUUAAUUUCUUUUUAAUGGAUAAUUUUUGUUUGAAACUUGGGAGGUGAGGGUAACAUAUUUACAUUUUUAUGUUUGCAAAAAGCUCCAAAUAUAGAGAUACAUUUCGACGAAACCAGCUUACGAUCCUCCGUUCACUGUCCUCGCUAAGGGCUUCUUCGCUUCCUUUAAAGGGAUUUUUUUUUUAAAUUGUUCCGGAAUUGUGUCACAUUUUUUGUCCUCAUUAAAAAGUUCAACGAUUUUCGUUAUGAUUGAGAGUUUUGGGAUGGAGAUCUUUUCUGAGUUACAGAAUCAGUAGAUUCCUUUUCUGCUUGUGAAACUGGUUUACCUAGCUGUUUGAGAAUUUAACAUUUGUGUAACUGCUUGGGUUGGGCUCUAAUUUAGACUAUUGAUGAUAAAAAGUGUUGUCUUUCUCUGAGCUUGAAAAAUGUAUCCUUUGAUGAGCUUUACUUAAGGCAAGCACUGGACUUCUUUGAUACAAUAACAGAACCUUCAACAUCGGAACUGAGUUAUAGAGAUUUGCCUGGUAUGAUGGAUCGUUUGGUUUCCAGAGAAAGAGAGCCUGAAGUAGAUCUUGAAAGUGGAGGGACAACUAGUGAAGAGGAUGGAACAAAUGAUCUUGUUUCAGCAAAUAAACAAACCAAGAAAGUUUUAAAUAGUGUUUGGAGUGGGCCUUUAGGUUUUGAUGGAUUGGGGAAUUCUUCAAAAUUUGGUGAGGAUGCUGACGAGAAUGUGGAGUUCUUGCUAGACAAGAAUUCAGAAGGAAAAGAGGGUCAACAGCAAAUUCCAUUUGUGAAUAAGAAGCUUCUGGAAGAGAAAAAGAAGAAAAAGAACUCAAGACAGGCUCCCAAGCCACCCAGGCCUCCUAAAGGUCCAUCACUGGAUGCUGCUGACCAGAAGUUGGUGCAGGAAAUCACCGAGCUUGCCAUGAGAAAACGUGCCAGGAUUGAACGAAUCAGAGUGCUAAAAAAGAUGAGAGCAGCAAAAUCAUCAUCUUGGAACAGCAGCCUAUAUGCCAUGGCGUUCACUGUUCUCUUCUUCCUUGUCCUCAUCUUUCAAGGAAUUUGCUCCAGAAACAUUGGAAGCUUGUGUCUGCAAGGGUCACCUGAGCCAGCAGUUACUGCAAGUGAAGAUUUGAUUUCAGUUCAAUUUUACAAGAACGCUGCCUACGAAGGUGAUGGACCUGGCUCUGGCUCUCCAAGGUGUGUAUUCCUUGUUUUUUCAGUAUUCUUAAUAGUAUCAAUACAUUUUGUUGUGGUAGGCACGAAUCUUUCUUACGUACCGAUUAUGAGAAUGCAAGAAGAUAUCAAUAUCUAUCAUUCAUUUGUUAAUCUUGCGUUGCCUGUACACAGUUUGGUAGGAGGACCAGUUUCGGGUUCAGGAUUGAGUAAGAAGUAGAGUUGCCUAAUCUUCUGUUCCAUCUGUAAACUUUUGCUGACAUCUGCAGCAUGGAGGCUGAGUUAGACUGAAAAAACUUAAAUCCUUUUUGUAAACUGAAGCUGAGGCAGCGUGCAAUCUUUCAACCACUCUGAUUUUUGUAUAUAGUGGGCAGAAACCAAGUUUGGACUUUGGAGAGAUGUUUGUAAAGUACAGUUUGGUAGAGUAAUUAACUCGUAUGGUUAUUAGUGAUUUUGCAGCUUGAAACUUUUGUUCCUUAUUUCGUGCCAAAUUUUGUCUUGCUAUGUCGAACUAUUUAAUGAAAUUAAGGAAAAAACCUAGAA